CGUGUGUGAUGAAGGCCUUCGGGUCGUAAAGCACUGUGGGGAGAGACGAAAAUGCGCAGGAGGAAAUGCUUGCGUACUGACGGUACCUCCUUAGCAAGCACCGGCUAACUCUGUGCCAGCAGCCGCGGUAAUACAGAGGGUGCAAACGUUGCUCGGAUUUACUGGGCGUAAAGCGCGUGUAGGCGGACUCGCAAGUCGGUUGUGAAAUCCCUGGGCUCAACCUAGGAACUGCAUCCGAAACUGCGGGUCUUGAGUAAUGGAGAGGGUGGCGGAAUUCCCGGUGUAGAGGUGAAAUUCGUAGAUAUCGGGAGGAACAUCAGUGGCGAAGGCGGCCACCUGGACAUUUACUGACGCUGAGACGCGAAAGCGUGGGGAGCAAACAGGAUUAGAUACCCUGGUAGUCCACGCCGUAAACGAUGAGAACUAGGUGCAGCGGAUAUUGACCUCUGCUGUGCCGUAGCUAACGCGUUAA
Molecule: ribosomal RNA, 472 nt
Filed under: uncultured delta proteobacterium
Lineage: Bacteria; Deltaproteobacteria
Description: bacterial SSU rRNA
Rfam family: Bacterial small subunit ribosomal RNA
Source: RNAcentral